CUGGUUGAUCCUGCCAGUAGUGAUAUGCUUGUCUCAAAGAUUAAGCCAUGCAUGUCUGAGUACAGACCGAUCUAAGGUGAAACCGCGAAUGGCUCAUUAAAUCAGUCAUAAUUCCUUGGAUAGUGAAAAACUUCCUCGGAUAACUGUGGAAAAUCCAGAGCUAAUACGUGCAACUGAGCUCCGACCUCGGCGCGAGCCAUGGGAAGAGCGCAUUUAUUAGAUUCAAAACUGACCGGCGUACUCCUCCGGGAUGCGCCGUUUGUCGAAAGUUUGAUGACUCCGGAUAACUUAGCCGAGCGCUACGGUCCUAGUACCGGCGCCGUAUCUUUCAAGUGUCUGCCUUAUCAGCUUUCGAUUGUAGGUUAAACGCCUACAAUGGCUGUAACGGGUAACGGGGAAUCAGGGUUCGAUUCCGGAGAGGGAGCCUGAGAAACGGCUACCACAUCUAAGGAAGGCAGCAGGCACGCAAAUUACCCACUCCCAGCCCGGGGAGGUAGUGACGAAAAAUAACGAUGCGAGACUCUUCCGAGGCCUCGCAAUCGGAAUGAGUCCAUUUUAAAUCCUUGGACGAGGAUCCAUUGGAGGGCAAGUCUGGUGCCAGCAGCCGCGGUAAUUCCAGCUCCAAUAGCGUAUAUUAAAGUUGCUGCGGUUAAAAAGCUCGUAGUUGGACUUCCUAGAUCCAUUUCGCGAGCGAGUCGCUCGUUGAGCUAGCGUUUCGCGUCAGUCACUCGAUGACGUCGGGGUGUAGGCGCGAGCCGCUGCCGUGGCGCGUCGUUGGCGUUCGCGUCGAUGCGAAUUGGCGCGUCGUUUUCGGCGUCCGCGGUUAGUUGGCUCGUUCGCGUCGCYCCGCGCCGAAUCUUGCGGACGGCGAGACGUUGUCUUCGAGUAUUGCUCGUUCGCGUCUGGUACAAUUAAAAUUUUGUCGGCUCGCUCGGAGUGCUCUUUACCGAGUGUUCCAGGGUGGCCGACACGUUCACUUUGAAAAAAUUAGAGUGCUUAAAGCGGGGCUUAUACGUGGCCUGAAUGUCUGUGCAUGGAAUGAAGUAACAGGACCUCGAUUCUGUUUUUUUUGUCGGUUUUAUUGAACCGAGGUAAUGAUUAAAAGGGACAGACGGUGGCAUUAGUAUUGCGGCGCUAGAGGUGAAAUUCUUGGACCGCUGCAAGACUAACUACUGCGAAAGCGUUUGCCGAGAAUGUUUUCAUUAAUCAAGAACGAAAGUUAGAGGAUCGAAGGCGAUCAGAUACCGCCCUAGUUCUAACCCUAAACUAUGCUAACUAGCGAUCCGCCGGAGUCAUUCCCACGACCCGGCGGGAAGCCCCAGGGAAACCAAAGUCUUUGAGUUCCGGGGGAAGUAUGGUUGCAAAGCUGAAACUUAAAGGAAUUGACGGAAGGGCACCACCAGGAGUGGAGCCUGCGGCUUAAUUUGACUCAACACGGGAAACCUCACCAGGCCCGGACAUCAUAAGGAUUGACAGGUUGAGGGCUCUUUCUCGAUUUGAUGGGUGGUGGUGCAUGGCCGUUCUUAGUUGGUGGAGUGAUCUGUCUGGUUGAUUCCGAUAACGAACGAGACUCUACCCUACUAACUAGUCGGCGGAUCGUAACCCUGAGAUGGUUAGUUCGUAUAGGGCGGUUUCGCGGAGAUGCGAUCCGCGUCGUGCGCGGGGCGUCUCGCGCGUGUUUCGGGAGUAUUCCGUUCGCGGAACUUUCGGUCGCGCGUGGAGGUGCUUUCGCGUCGCGGCGUUGGAUUUAGCGUCGAUGUAUCCGUCUGAUUACUGCUACUGCUGGGGGCGUCCGUCGCAAUGUAUCUUCUUAGAGGGAUCAGCGGCGUAUAGCCGCACGAGAAAGAGCAAUAACAGGUCUGUGAUGCCCUUAGAUGUUCUGGGCCGCACGCGCGCUACAAUGUAGAGACCAGCGUGCUUUCCCCCUCCGAAAGGAGCGGGUAACCCGUUGAAACCCCUACCCGAUUGGGAUUGGGGAUUGCAAAUAUUUCCCAUAAACGAGGAAUUCCCAGUAAGCGCGAAUCAUUAAUUCGCGCUGAUUACGUCCCUGCCCUUUGUACACACCGCCCGUCGCUACUACCGAUUGAAUGAUUCAGUGAGGGCAUCGGACUGGCGCCUUCGGUUUAGUAACAUAGACCUUAGGCUGACGGAAAGAUGUCCGAACUUGAUCAUUUAGAGGAAGUAAAAGUCGUAACAAGGUUUCCGUAGGUGAACCUG
This 2217-nucleotide ribosomal RNA is filed under the name Paramunnopsis sp. 1 D11. RNAcentral describes it as "SSU rRNA". It matches the Rfam family "Eukaryotic small subunit ribosomal RNA". The record is from RNAcentral. Lineage: Eukaryota; Metazoa; Arthropoda; Malacostraca; Isopoda; Munnopsidae.